AUUGAACGCUGGCGGAAUGCUUUACACAUGCAAGUCGAACGGCAGCACGGGGGCAACCCUGGUGGCGAGUGGCGAACGGGUGAGUAAUACAUCGGAACGUGCCCGGUCGUGGGGGAUAACGUAGCGAAAGUUACGCUAAUACCGCAUACGAUCUGAGGAUGAAAGCGGGGGACCUUCGGGCCUCGCGCGAUCGGAGCGGCCGAUGUCAGAUUAGGUAGUUGGUGGGGUAAAGGCCUACCAAGCCGACGAUCUGUAGCUGGUCUGAGAGGACGACCAGCCACACUGGGACUGAGACACGGCCCAGACUCCUACGGGAGGCAGCAGUGGGGAAUUUUGGACAAUGGGCGGAAGCCUGAUCCAGCCAUUCCGCGUGCAGGACGAAGGCCUUCGGGUUGUAAACUGCUUUUGUAUGGAACGAAAAGGCUCUGGCUAAUACCUGGGGCUCAUGACGGUACCGUAAGAAUAAGCACCGGCUAACUACGUG
Molecule: ribosomal RNA, 484 nt
Filed under: uncultured bacterium
Lineage: Bacteria
Description: partial 16S ribosomal RNA
Rfam family: Bacterial small subunit ribosomal RNA
Source: RNAcentral